Molecule: ribosomal RNA, 253 nt
Filed under: uncultured bacterium
Lineage: Bacteria
Description: partial 16S ribosomal RNA
Rfam family: Bacterial small subunit ribosomal RNA
Source: RNAcentral
UACAGAGGGUGCAAGCGUUAAUCGGAAUUACUGGGCGUAAAGCGUGCGUAGGCGGUUAUGUAAGUCAGAUGUGAAAGCCCCGGGCUCAACCUGGGAAUUGCAUUUGAGACUGUGUAGCUAGGGUGCGGAAGAGGGAAGCGGAAUUUCCGGUGUAGCGGUGAAAUGCGUAGAUAUCUGAAGGAACACCAGUGGCGAAAGCGGCUUCCUGGUCCAGUACCGACGUUCAGGCACGAAAGCGUGGGGAGCAAACAGG